Molecule: RNA transcript, 11083 nt
Organism: Mus musculus (house mouse)
Lineage: Eukaryota; Metazoa; Chordata; Mammalia; Rodentia; Muridae
Gene: Cspg4b
Gene name: chondroitin sulfate proteoglycan 4B
Exons: 10
Source: RefSeq, marked validated
GGGAGGGGACCACCGACUCCCUGUCCUGUUUGUAGCCUGCACUGCCUUGGAGCCUUCGAUCUAGCUGGCUCUGAUCCCGCGCAACAGCUGCAGGUCGCAGAAGUGCCCCGCCCCGUCGUGUCGCGCGGGGCGCCGCCUCUCUCCAGGCUUUGGGGCGCGCAGGCGGGUCGCGGGCCGCGCAGGUAGAGCUCGGCGCGGGCCCCGGAGACGGCGCGGCGGGAUGGGGCGGCCCGGGGCCUGCGGCCUCCUGUUGCUCACCGCCUUUCUGGGGCUCUGCGGGCCGCGCGGGGGGCUCGGAGCAUCUUUUUAUGGGGAAAGCUACGUGGGGCUCAGCACCACCGAGGUUUUCCCUGAGCUGUCGCUUCAGUUAAGAUUUCAAACCAGCAAGCCACAAGGCUUACUCUUCCUUGCAGCCGGGAAAACCGACUAUUGCCUGAUAGAACUUCUGUCAGGAAUAUUACAGGUGAAAAUAAACAUGGGUACGGGGCAAGAAAUCCUCCUUUCUGAGCAAAGACUUCGUGUGGACGAUUUGGCUUGGCAUUCGUUGGAGCUGCGCUAUGGCAAGGAUGCUGUUCUCUUGGUCAUUGACAAGCACUUUGAGACAACCGUCCGGCUGGCGGGUGGGCUGCGUAACUUCACCUUUCACCAUGGAAUCUAUAUAGGAGGCCGUGGGGGGCUCAGUGUCCCUUACCUGGACAGGAAGAUCCCCAACUUCCGGGGAUGCAUGGAGGAUGUGGCGUUUAACCAGAGGGAGAUCCUUACGUCCCUUAGGUCAUACCCUGGCUUUAAGAAGGUGUCUGAGGUGUCGCUGGGGUGUAACGAUGAGUUUUUUGCUGGGAAGGAUGAAGCUAUUAGCUUUUUCAGCUCUAGGUCCUAUGUUACCUUUCCAGAAUGGAAGGUACACGGGGAAGGGUUCCUGAGAUUUGCUGUGCAAACUGGAACCCUGCAGGCUUUGCUUUUAUUUCAGUCCGGCAGAGGAAGAGAUUUUGUUGCCUUGGAAAUCCAUGAGGGUCUACUGAAGGCUCACGUAGGAAGGGGCGGAACAAAAACUCAACUCUCUUCAUUCAGCUUGGUUAGUGACAACAAGUGGCACGUUGUUCAGCUUAAAGUCACCGGGAGGCACGUGGACAUCAUGGUGGAUGAACACAGGGAAAGGGCGGGGCUGCCUCUGCAAAGCCAAGCGUUUGUAUCCGAAGGCCCCCUGUUCAUGGGUGGCCUGGAUGACCGGAUGUGGGAAACUGUGCGCGGCUUAGAAGUUGUGUCUAUGCCUGGGAAAUCUGUUCGAGGUAUGUCUCUGAAAGGAUGCCUGCGAGCCUUAGAAGCCAAUUUGGAAAAGAGAGCAUUACGGGAUGCUCUUGUCUCCAGAGACAUUUCGGCUGGGUGCACAAGUGAGGGUCUCCGUGGUACAGAUCCUUCUGUGGCAGGGGAAGACCUGUUUCCACCAGAGCCAUCCUCUCCCACGACCAUUCCCAGUUCUCCUCUGAAAAUUCAAAGUGGCAGCUUUUUGGUUUUGAAUAAGUUAGAAGUCCAAGAAGGUGGACGGGCCUUACUGGGACAAAGGCAUAUAGAAGUAGAUGUGGACUUUAUGGAUCUGGGUAUCAAUUCUUCUCAGAUACUGUUUAAGAUACAGGAAAUGCCAGCUCAUGGGUUCCUUCAAAUAGAUGCUUGGCCUGCACAGGAAAUGGAGAGGACUUUUACUCUGUCAGAUUUGAGGCAUGGGAAAGUGUGGUAUGUCCACGAUGGUUCAGAAGAGCCUACAGAUUCGUUUACGUUUUGGGCUUUUUCUAGUAGCAAGCAGGCACUGCUGUCCCAGCUGCAGGCUCCUGUUCCACAUGUGUUUAACAUUACUGUCCUUCCAGUGAAUGACCCCCCAUAUCUUAAGCUUCCAGAAGGACACCUGCUUCUCUUUGAGAACACUAAGCAACGACUAACACCCAGGGUGAUACAGGUGUUAGAUCCCGACACCGAUUCUCGGCGGCUCAGGUUUUCUGUUCUUAACAACUUCAAUUCAGAGGCUGGGUUUUUAGAAAAUGCCAGGGAGCCCGGGAGAGCCAUCACUGGUUUUACAGACAUGGAUUUACAAGAUGGCAACAUUUUCUAUGUGCACAGGGGUCCUCGAAACUCUCGAGUUGCUCUAAGAGCAACUGAUGGUGAGCUGGUUAGCAAUACUGUGGUGUUGCGGGUCAUGGCUGUCCCUUGGGACUUUGAAGUGGCUGAUAGGACUGGCGUGGUGGUACCACAAGGUGGUACCAUUCUCAUCACUCGGAACAACUUGUCUGUGAAGGUGAAUGGUGGACAACAUGAGCUGGACACUCUCUAUGACAUCACACAUCCACCUCAGUUUGGCCAAAUUCAGCACCGGGGAUCCAACGGAGAGUGGAAACCAGUUAGGACCUUUUCUCAACGUUCCAUUGACCAGAGUCAGAUCCGAUACUAUAGUUCAUUCAAGGGAUUGCAGCAAGAAAAUGUGACGGAUCACUUUAAGUUUAGAGUUAACAUAGAGGGAAGAGUAGGCAGAGAGCUCCUGUUCCCUGUGACUGUGCAGUGGCUGCAGUUGACACUUCUGAAAAAUAUUCCUCUAGAGAUUAGCAACGCAAACAAGAAAGUAUUGGAUUCUGGCCAUCUGCAGGCUGCAGCAGGGAGUGUGGCAGCACCUGAGAGGGGACUCCAUUUCAAGCUACUGAUUCCACCUAAGAGAGGAAGACUGCUACUUGGCAAUAAAGUUCUUAAAUCCGGUUCAAUGUUCAGUCAAAAAAACAUUGCAGACUCUAAGGUGAGCUAUGAACCUCAGGGGAUGCCUGGGCAAGACUCACAGGAUUCUUUUAGUUUCUCAAUUGUUGUAAAACAGGUAGAAUCUAAAGAUCACACCUUUAGGAUAGACCUUAAAGCAGAUAAGACACAUGUCACUAUAACCAACACUGGACUGUAUGUUAAAGAGGGGGAAAGGACAAUAAUUACAAAAUCAGAAUUAUUUGUUCAAACACUGGAUAAUCAUGUCUUCCAAUAUAAAGUCACCAAGAGUCCUCAGCAUGGGGAACUGAAAUUGGUCAGCUCGUCUGCUUCUCUGGGAAGUGACAAUAGGGCCACUGGAUUCACAGACGAAGACAUAGUGAGUGGGAGGCUGGUCUAUGUUCAUGAUGACUCUGAGGCCCAGUGGGAUGAAUUCAUCCUUCUGGCCUCUGCCACAGGUCUGGGCCAACAGGGAGGGGUCAGAAGUCUUGACUCUGAGCACACGUCUACAGAGAUCAAAGUCAGCGUUUCUGUUGAGUUGAAGAAUGAUGAGAAGCCGGUGCGUGUGGUGGAUAAGAUCUUUCACGUUGUGCGGGACAGCCAGCGCUUACUGACACUAGCAGAUCUCUGUUACCAUGACCCCGACAUAGAUUUUGACGAUGGCCAGUUGCUCUACACUCGGCAUGGCAUACCCAAUGGAGAUUUGGUGAAAGCUGCUGACCCAAUUCGGAAGCUCUACCAGUUCAGACAAGAGGACCUACGGGAAGGGCGUGUGCUCUUCAGGCACCACGGUCCAGAUUUCGCUCGGUUCCUGAUUUUUGUGACAGAUGGUGUCCAUUACACAUCAUCCCUUUUCGAGGUCAGUGUGUCAGAGGCCUAUGUCCGCAUAGUCAACAACACAGGGCUGCUUGUGCACAGAGGGAGGGACAGCUUUCUAACAACAGCCAACCUGAGCGUCACCACAAACCAAGAUGUCAGAACAGACCAUGAGUUUGAAUUCCACAUCGUGCAACCCCCAAAACAUGGCAGACUCCUGGUCAACAAUUCUACCUUUCACUCAUUUUCCCAGCAUGACCUAAAGCAGGGACGUGUGAUUUAUAGGUAUGACGGGGAUGGCAACCUCGAUAUCUUUAACCUGACAGUGAAAGUUAAAGAUGCCUACCUAGAUGUGAGCAUCAGGGUCCAAGUGUCGUCAGAAGGUCGCCAACGUUCCACUCCGAUUCUGCACAGCAGGAGCCUUAUAGUUGAAGAAGGAAAACCAGUAAAACUGAGCAGAGGAAAGCUCCAGGCUGGGAAUGAAGAAGAUAUUCCUUCAGAGGCAGUGUUCACAGUCAGAACUCCACCCGUACACGGAUACCUCCAAAUAUCCACAGCAGAAGACGGCAUCGCGGGUGCAGAUGUGAUGCCCACUCUGAACUUCACCCAGCAAGAUGUUGAUGAUGGCCAUGUCCUCUAUGUCCAGACAGCUCCCGGCCAGCAAAAGGACCAGUUCACCCUCGAUGUGACAAAGGACUCCCGGGUUAUAAGGAGAGUGGAGGUGCUCUUGGAGCCCAUCCCCAAGUGGAUUCCUCUCAAGGUGCAGAAUCUCACAGUUCAAGAAGGGGGCUCCAAGGUACUUCUGCAGGAUCACCUCCAAAUUGCAAGCAAGUAUUUGGAGGGUCUUGACUGUGAAUUCAUUCUCCUCGAACCGCCAAAGCACGGUUAUGUCGAAAGCUCCAAGUUUCCAAGAGUGAAGCUAAUGAAAUUUUCCAGGAGAGAGGUGGCGCAGGAGUUGAUUUACUAUGUUCAUGACGGCAGUGAGGAGUUUCUCGACAGCCUCACCAUCCUGGCGAACAGCUCUGAGCUUGGCAAGCAGAGUCCACCUCAGACCCUGUUUGUGACUGUUGAGUCUGUGAACGACGAGGCUCCAGUAGUAACAGCCAAUAACAUCCUCCAGGUGUGGGUGAAUUCUGUCACUGAGGUGACCAGAGGGGACCUGUGUGCAGGAGAUGGGGACUCUUCCCCACAGGACUUGGUCUACUGGGUCACUCCUCCCAGCAACGGGCAUCUGGCUCUCAAGUCCACUCCUGGCAGAAGGAUCCAGAACUUCACUCAGGCUCAGAUUGACGAGGGUCAGCUGGUGUUCGUGCACACUGGAGCAAUGUCAGGUGGCUUUAAUUUCCAGGUGACUGACGGUCUGAAUUUUGCGCCUCGGCAAAUCUUUAGCAUCACUGCCCGAGCUCUGAUCAUUAGCUUAGAAGUCAACAGAGGAUUGAGCAUCUUCCCAGCUCUUGGCCUGGAGGAAGGAAGGUGGAUCUUCAUGUCCAUGUCUCUCGAGUGGCACUGAUAUUCACGGAAAUCUUACAACUGUGGAAUCAGAAGUCCUAGAGUGCAGGUGGACCUUAGUGGCCACCUGGUCCCAUUCUUCUUACUGUUUUCCUGUGUUAGUUUUCCCAAGUAGCAGGGGCCACCAUGAUUCCUAUAGCUUUUAUCAUAUUGUGCCCUUUCAGGGACUCACCUGAGCCUUGCUCAGCAUGGCUUCUUCAGUAGUCACCCGUGGGCUCUUUGUCCUCGCUGCUGUGUGUGAGGCUGGAAGGUGACAAUAAAUGCCGCAUUCUGUAUCUUCCUUCAGAGCCCCCAUCUUUGUCCUGCUAUGUGAUGUCCCAUGAAGGGCGAGGAGGCACUCUGCAUCCUACCUAGGGUGUGAUGUAAGGUGUGUGUUCAGUGUCAGCUAUUGCAGACCCAUGCAGUCAGAACUUCUAUAUGUUAAAGUACCAGGGAAAAGUCCAUUGUUUUUGUGAAGGCAUAAUUUGUUCUAGCACUGUUGCAGGAGUAGAAAAUCUAUUCCUAAUACAGGCUGGGCAUUCAGAUAGUUAUUCUUUAUAUUUAUAUAUUUAUAGCAUUUUAUAUUUUUAAUUACCAUGUUGUGUUUUUAAGAGUUUAAAGGAAAUAGUGUAUGAAUAAACUUUUGUUUAGGCAGUGUUGUUGUUUGACUUUAAUCCCAGCACUUGGGAGACAGAGGCAGGUGGAUCACUGAGUUUGAGGCAAGCCUGGUCUACACAGUGAGUUCUAGGACAGCCAAGGCUACACAAAGGGACCCUGUCUCUCAACUCCCCUUAUACUCCCAAUACCCCACAACUUUUGAAUAUCCUGAUUGCCAGGUAAAAGAUAUGGAGGCAUGGGGCUCUCAGUGUCUCAUGUCUAAUAGACAUUGCCUUCAGGCAAUGUGGCAAUUCUGAUCGCAAAUCUAGAACUUGUAUCAGGCAGUCCUUCUCCUUUAGGUGUAGGCCAGCAUCCCAGGGUGUCUUUAUUAUAGUAUGCCUCUUCUCUGAGACAGGAACAAUAGGGUAACUGUUUAUUUUUUUUAUUUUGUCUCCUAGGCAUUACACACACACACACACACAACACAGCAAGUUAAUAGACUAAUAGCCACACCAAUUAUGUAGUAAUGUUACUGUUACAUGUUUUAAUCUCUUUAGUUGGGGGAAGUAUUGCAGACAGGCAUAAGUUAGCAGCAACCAACGGAAAUCAAGCCUUUAAGAACUUAAUGCACACUUCGUCCACUUGAACUCCUCUGUGGUUCAUCAGACUUCGGAAGUUUCUGCGUUGGUGCCUUGGGACACUCAGCCCUGGAUUGAUGCUUAGAAAAUCUGCAUGGCAAGCCAAGUAGUUAUUAGAAUACACAGUGUGUGAAUGUUUAAGACUUUAUAGCGUCCAUAUUUUGCCAAAUUUGAGUAUCAGUUUUUAACACGGUUACUUUAAGGACUGUACUUCUAAGUGAAAUUUUGUGUGUGAACUAAGUAAUGGAUUUAAAGUAUAUUUUUAUUGUAUUUUUCAAUUUUUCAUUUUGUCUUAUUGUAAAUAUGUACGUAUAGCAUGAGUGUGUACAUGUAUAUACACAUAUGUAUAUAUAGUAGGUAUUUAUAUAAUUUAAUCAACAUGUGUUCUGUUUUCUUCUCUGUCAUUCUCCAAGAAAAAGUUUUGUAAGAGGUUUUACCUUGCUCUUGCUUUCUUGCUUGGUCCUCUUGCCCCUUCCCCCUCUCUUCUAUUCCCCUCCCCCUCUCUUUCCAUAUGCUCAUGGCGGGCUUCUGCUUCUCUCUCUCUCUCUCUCUCUCUCUCUCUCUCUCUCUCUCUCUCUCUCUCCAUCCUCUCAACUUCCCUCUCCAUGCCCUGAAUAAACUUUAUUCUAUGGUUUAAAAAAAAAAGAGGUUUUACAUUGCAAUCUAGCAUAGAUUUUGUUUGUUUAACUUUAGUGAUGGCAUAUGAGAAUAUACUGUGGCCUUAGGCUGUAGGGUUUUUGCUUACUCAAUUGUACUUGGCUCCUUUUCAAGGAAUGUUGGUCUUGACUCUUGGAGGGAAUUUCCCGGAAAGUUUGGCUGUAAUGCUAUAGAAGCAACUCUGUAGGUCCGUAGAGGAGCAGCUCAUCAACAAAGAAUCAUUGUCCUGAGUCCCGAGAGGAUGGCACCAAGAGCCCACCUCUCCCUCAUCGCAGGAACUGAAAGAAAGGAGCAGGGCUCGCCGGAUUCAGAUCCCAUGAGCUAGAGGAUGAUCUUUCAACCCCAACCCCUGGCGUUCGCAUGACCUGCGAUACAGGCCUGGGAGGCUCCCUGGGUGUGUUUAGGAGCCAGCCCCACCCUCCUAGGAACCCCAGUUUCUUGUUUUCCCAGCACCACACAAGCGGAUUUUUCUUUCCAUACCCAGGGUUGAGCCACAGAGGCCUUAUUUGGCACGAAUGCCUUUCUCUGGGCAACUAAACAGAAGUGAGGGCAUAGCUGGAGGAGAAGCACUCAUUUCUGCUGUGGCUCAGGAGCAAACCAUGCCCAUGAGAAAAUAGCCAGGCAUCGCUAGCCUCCCACUGCCCAUAGCUCCCCAUUCAUAUCCAUGAACUCUCCAGGCAGUUUUCAGAAGUCUAGAAAGACCAAGGAGCCAACCCCCUUUGUGCAGGUUGUAGUUAUAUUCAUAUUUCAAUUUUAGGUUCCACAAAGCCACUUUCGUCUCAUGACCUGAGAGCCGUGACCAAUGAUGACAAGGCAGGAAACAGAACUGUAACAUUUACAGUUGUCAGGUCCCCUAAACUCGGGAGGCUGCUGAAGAUGAACCCGGAUAACCGCACAGAGGAUGUUUCCACUUUUACCCAAUGUCUGGUGAGCGAAGGGCUGAUACUCUACCAGCAUGUGGAUCUUGAGAGCACGGGGUGGGCCUCAGAAGACUCCUUCACAUUCACAGCAUCUUCCCCUCCAGCGGAGCUGGGCCCCGAGGCUUUUCGGAUCACCAUUUCAUAUGAAGUGAAUGAGUCAGGUCGACAGAGCCGGCUGCGUGCAAAUACAGGAGCCUCUGUCAAGGAGGGAGAUAAAGUUCUCAUUGACCAAUCAAAAUUAGAUGCCUCCAACCUCUUACUUCAGCUACCCCAACCUCAGCGUUCUUCCCAUGAAAUCUGGUUCCAGGUUACGGCUCUUCCUCACCAUGGAACCAUUAUGGUUGGAGAGAGAAACAUUACCACAGGGAGACCCUACUUCUCCCAGCACACAGUUAAUGUAUUUGGAGCCGCGUAUCUUCAUGACGACUCCGAAUCACUGGCUGAUAAUUUUACCUUUGCUGUUUGGCCAAACCCAAAGAAUAAGUCCACCAGCAAGCCAGAGGCUGGCUUUCUGGAAGAGAUGUUCAACAUCACCAUCACCCCUGUGAAUGAUCAGCCUCCAGAAUUAAAGACCAAAGGGCUGCGGUUGACAGUUCUGCAGGGCGAUAGGUUGGUUGUGGGACCUGAAAUCCUCAAUGUAGAAGAUAUAGAUAGUCCUCCAAAUGAAAUCCAAUAUGAGAUCAUCCGUCAUCCCAACAAUGGCUUCUUAGCCAUGGCUCACGAUCCAGAUGCCACUGCUCACCAUUUUACACAGGCGGACAUCAAUAACGCUCAGGUGUGGUUCAUACAAGAUAGAAGCCCAUCCUCGGGAGUGUUUUAUUUUAGUGUGACUGACGGCAAACACCGCCCUCUCUACAAGCUCUUCCACCUGGAUGUCACCCCCAUUUCCAUCACUCUUGUGAACCUCACAGACCUGCUUCUCCCACAAGGCCAGAACACUGUCCCCAUCACCAAUACUCAUCUCUCAGCAGUGACCAAUGGUAGGAGCCUCCAGAUCAUCUACAGAAUGACACAGCCCCUCCAAAGCGGCCACUUGCUGAUUGAAAACCAGGUGGUCAACAGCUUUGGGCAGGAGGAUUUGGAUUCUGGAAGACUCUCUUACCACAUGACCAAUCUCACAGCCUCCGAAGAUCAGCUGAGGGUCUCACUGUUUACAACGGAGUGCAACUUGACGGAGCAGACACUGAACAUCAGGGUGCAGCCUUUGUUGUGGGUUAUAGCAAACUUGAAAGUGACCAACAGAGUGGCUCACCAGCUUAGGACAGAGGAUCUAGAUGCAACCGAGCUUGCUAACAGGACUAAUAGUGAUCCCAUGUUUGAAGUGAUACAACCCCUAGUCCAUGGACGACUCGUUCGAAGAGCAGUUGAUAGCCCUGUGAUGGAAGAAAUCACUCAGUUCACCCAGACAGACAUCAACCAAGGGCAGCUGGUGCUUGAGCCACAUGCUAAUCUAACAGGCACCCACACACUGAAUGACUCCUUCACCUUCUUGCUCAGUGCAGACCAUGUGCAGCCAGCAGCAGGUUAUCUAGCCUUUACCAUAGUGCCACCAGACCCCUUACCUUUACAGACAUUUACACCAGAUGUGCCUUUAUUUGUCACUGGAGAGACCCUCGUGGCCUCUGUUUCCUCUCAGAAAAAACUUAGGGCUUCUAUUAAAAAACAGACAGAAACUCCGGGGAAUCUGACCCAGGGCAGAUGGCAGGGGACAGAUUCCUGGGGUCAACUCAGUGGCAAAGAGCCAAAUAUAGAUGCCAAGGUCUCUCCCACCAGGGUCAUUUGGCCAUAUGCUGCCACCAAAGUGGGGGAGUCCCUUUCCGGGGGAGCCAUGCAGCCGGAAAUGAGCCGUCACCCUCUGGUGGUCAUCAUACCUUUGGCUGCUGUGUUCCUCCUCCUGCUGGUGACUGUGGUGGCCCUGUGUGUUUGGCUACUGAGCCGAAAGGAGGACAAACCCAAACCACUUACCCAGCCAAAGACAAACCUGAAGUCCCCAUCCACAGGCUCUAGAGCAGAGAGGAGUGGAGCCAUUCCCACGGUCACGGUGACACCCCUUAUUAGAAGCAGCCUGGCUCCUAGUCUGUUCCAGACCCAAUCCUAUGAUCGGCCAGCCCCUCUGGGGGCGGAGCCUGUGGAGAAAUGUGCUCCUUGGGACGCAUGGGUGAACUUGGAUCCUGACAUGGCCAAGCUCUGUCGACAAACCAACCCCGCACUGAAACACAACCAGUACUGGGUAUAAAUGGGGAGCCCCCCUCCUACACCACCUCAUACUCAUUCUCUCUCCUUCGCUCCCCCCCACCUCUCUCUCCCCCUUUACCCCCCUUUCCACUUUCCCAUCUCUCCCCUUUUCCGCUCUCCUCCCCUCCCCCAUCUCUUGCUGUUACUGACCACUUACUGUGUAUAGGUACGAAGAUCAACUCAGGGUUAUAACGAUGAAGGAAUGCGCUUCGAAUCAAGGAAAGCUGUCCAUUAGGUGUAGUUACACACAGGGCCCACUCACAGCCCAGUGCUGUUGGUGAGUGCCGUACCUUGCACUCCUGGGCCUUCCACAGUGGUCCCUUGCCAGGACCUGCCACUCUGUUAAGAAUUAAACUGGACUAAGGUACUGCUGAGCAGUGGGACCUCAUUGGAAGCAGUGCCUUUAACUUGGAGCUCGGAGUUAAGGGAGGACGGUGUGGGUGCUUUUCAUGGGAGAUUCACCCUCACGGUGAGUCAGCAGGAGGUGCCGGGUCUCUCUCCACACAAGAUGCCAUUUAUUACAUCGGCGAGUUUGUUUAUGGAAUAUUUAUGUGUGUGGAGUCUCCUCAGGUUGGUUUCCUCGUGCAGGAAACGCCUUGUUCAGAUUACAGGGCAAACUGACCUCCUUUGAGGAUAGUCCUUAAAUCCGACGUAUUUUUAUCCAGAGGCAUUGUUUACAGAAGGAUCUGUAAAGUCAAGAAAUAUCUGAAGCUCUGAGGUGUAGAAAGGUGUGUUAAAAGCUUUUUAUUUUUUGAUGCCUUAGUUUGGCAUCUUUUUACAAUAAAUGGAAGUAAUGGCAAAUUUGUAUUUGAAUUGUCUACUUGAACCGUUGUCCACCAUUAGUUUCUGUAAGUCUAAAAUGAAGCUUUCAGUACUUACACUAAGGCAGCCUUGGGCUGCAGAGUAUAACACACCCACAAAUGUGAGACUGAGGCUUGCACAAAUGAUUCAGAUUUUUCUGUGAAGAGUAAUAUAGUAAAGAUUUUAGGUUUGUGGGCUACA